This 512-nucleotide ribosomal RNA is filed under the name uncultured bacterium. RNAcentral's name for it is "bacterial SSU rRNA". It matches the Rfam family "Bacterial small subunit ribosomal RNA", at positions 15 to 518 of the family's 1533-position model. The record is from RNAcentral.
GAUCUUGGUCAGAACGAACGCUGGCGGCGCGUUUAAGCAUGCAAGUCGAGCGGCAAGGGCCUUCGGGCCCCUAGAGCGGCGGACGGGUGAGUAACACGUGGACAAUCUGCCCCCCGGCCCGGGAUAGCCCAGGGAAACCUGGAUUAAUACCGGAUGAGACGGGACCCGCGAUGGCGGGACCCGGGAAAGGCGCUGCGGCGCCGCCGGGGGAUGAGUCUGCGUCCCAUUAGCUAGACGGCGGGGUAACGGCCCACCGUGGCGACGAUGGGUAGCCGGCCUGAGAGGGUGGACGGCCACAUUGGAACUGAGACACGGUCCAGACUCCUACGGGAGGCAGCAGCUAAGAAUCUUCCGCAAUGGGCGAAAGCCUGACGGAGCCGACGCCGCGUGAACGAAGAAGGCCGUGAGGUUGUAAAGUUCUUUUCGGGAGGGGGAACAACCGUGGCAGGGAAUGGCCGCGGGAUGACGUGAAUCCCGGAAUAAGCCCCGGCUAACUACGUGCCAGCAGCCGC